GCCUCAGUACGGCGAGUGAAGCGGCAAAAGCUCAAAUUUGAAAUCUAGCACCUUCGGUGUUCGAGUUGUAAUUUGAAGAUGGUAACCUUGGGUUUGGCUCUUGUCUAUGUUCCUUGGAACAGGACGUCAUAGAGGGUGAGAAUCCCGUCUGAUGAGAUGCCCAUUCCUAUGUAAGGUGCUAUCGAAGAGUCGAGUUGUUUGGGAAUGCAGCUCUAAGUGGGUGGUAAAUUCCAUCUAAAGCUAAAUAUUGGCGAGAGACCGAUAGCGAACAAGUACAGUGAUGGAAAGAUGAAAAGAACUUUGAAAAGAGAGUGAAAAAGUACGUGAAAUUGUUGAAAGGGAAGGGCAUUAGAUCAGACUUGGUGUUUUACGAUUAUCUUCUCUUCUUGAGUUGUGCACUCGUAUUUCACUGGGCCAGCAUCGAUUCGGAUGGCAAGAUAAUGGCAGUUGAAUGUGGCUUCACUUCGGUGGAGUGUUAUAGCUUCUGCUGAUAUUGCCUGUCUGGAUCGAGGGCUGCGUCUUUUGACUAGGAUGCUGGCGUAAUGAUCUAAUGCCGCCCGUCUUGACCCCCC
This 572-nucleotide ribosomal RNA is filed under the name Hansenula anomala. RNAcentral describes it as "Wickerhamomyces anomalus partial large subunit ribosomal RNA". It matches the Rfam family "Eukaryotic large subunit ribosomal RNA", at positions 77 to 661 of the family's 3401-position model. Lineage: Eukaryota; Fungi; Ascomycota; Saccharomycetes; Phaffomycetales; Wickerhamomycetaceae. The record is from RNAcentral.